CUUGUAGCUCAGUGGAUAGAGUACCCGGCUACGAACCGGUUGGUCGCAGGUUCAAAUCCUGCCAGGC
Molecule: transfer RNA, 67 nt
Filed under: human gut metagenome
Rfam family: tRNA
About the family: Transfer RNA (tRNA) molecules are approximately 80 nucleotides in length.
Source: RNAcentral